UGCAAUCUAUGAUGCAAACUCUUUAUUUCUGAUUCACUAAUGAUUAUUCAAUAACAUUAUCACCAUCUUUCGGCUGAGAUUGCA
Vitis vinifera (wine grape) is the source of this 84-nucleotide small nucleolar RNA. NCBI's taxonomy places the organism in Eukaryota, Viridiplantae, Streptophyta, Magnoliopsida, Vitales, Vitaceae. The record is from Rfam.